RNAcentral lists this ribosomal RNA (253 nucleotides) under uncultured bacterium. Its description in RNAcentral is "partial 16S ribosomal RNA". It matches the Rfam family "Bacterial small subunit ribosomal RNA", at positions 524 to 776 of the family's 1533-position model. The record is from RNAcentral.
CACGUAGGGCGCAAGCGUUGUCCGGAAUUAUUGGGCGUAAAGAGCUCGUAGGCGGUCUGUUGCGUCCGCUGUGAAAACCCGGGGCUUAACCCCUGGCUUGCAGUGGAUACGGACAGACUAGAGUGUGGUAGGGGAGACUGGAAUUCCUGGUGUAGCGGUGAAAUGCGCAGAUAUCAGGAGGAACACCGAUGGCGAAGGCAGGUCUCUGGGCCACUACUGACGCUGAGAAGCGAAAGCAUGGGGAGCGAACAGG